CUACGGAGGGGGCUAGCGUUGUUCGGAAUUACUGGGCGUAAAGCGUACGCAGGCGGAUAUUUAAGUUAGGUGUGAAAUCCCAGGGCUCAACCCUGGAACUGCACUUAAAACUGGGUAUCUAGAGUUAUGGAGAGGUAAGUGGAAUUCCUAGUGUAGAGGUGAAAUUCGUAGAUAUUAGGAGGAACACCAGAGGCGAAGGCGGCUUACUGGACAUAUACUGACGCUGAGGUACGAAAGUGUGGGGAGCAAACGGGAUUAGAAACCCGAGUAGUCC
This 274-nucleotide ribosomal RNA is filed under the name uncultured bacterium. RNAcentral's name for it is "partial 16S ribosomal RNA". It matches the Rfam family "Bacterial small subunit ribosomal RNA", at positions 523 to 796 of the family's 1533-position model. The record is from RNAcentral.